Molecule: non-coding RNA, 25 nt
Filed under: Mus musculus (house mouse)
Lineage: Eukaryota; Metazoa; Chordata; Mammalia; Rodentia; Muridae
Source: RNAcentral
UAAAUCUUAGAGCAGAUAGGGAGGG